UACGAAGGACCCGAGCGUUAUCCGGAUUUAUUGGGUUUAAAGGGUGCGUAGGCGGAUUAUUAAGUCAGUGGUGAAAGCCUUCAGCUUAACUGAAGAACUGCCAUUGAUACUGAUGAUCUUGAGUAUGAUUGAGGUGGGCGGAAUGUGUCAUGUAGCGGUGAAAUGCUUAGAUAUGACACAGAACACCGAUUGCGAAGGCAGCUCACUAAGCCAUAACUGACGCUGAUGCACGAAAGCGUGGGGAGCAAACAGG
This 253-nucleotide ribosomal RNA is filed under the name uncultured bacterium. Its description in RNAcentral is "partial 16S ribosomal RNA". It matches the Rfam family "Bacterial small subunit ribosomal RNA", at positions 524 to 776 of the family's 1533-position model. The record is from RNAcentral.